ACCAUGGAAGGACUUCUUCAAGCUGGUUCUUCAUAUUUUUACUACAAGUAAGUUCAAUUCUUGACUAUUUCUUGAAAUUUUUGUAUUUUUAUGACUUUUACAACUAGGCCCACUUGUUAAAUUCAUUAGUUUUUGAUUUUAUGAAAGAAGUUGAAAGUUGAUAUGAAUAUGUGCUGGAAUUAUAUGAUGAUUUAGCAUGGAAUUAGAGCUUUAAAUUGUUCAUAUGCUGAUUUUAUUGAAAGAAUUGAAUAGAAAGUGAAUAUUUGGGACCUAAUAGUAAAAGAGUUUGAAAAUAGAGUUAUAUGUGGAAAUUCUGAAUUUCAAUAGUUGUGUAACAACUUAUAAUGUCUAGGUAAAGUAUUAAUUGAGAAAAUUAGAUUAAUUGAGGGGUUAAUUGAGAAAGGACCGAAUUGUUUAAACUGUGAAAUUUGGGGCAAAAUGAAAAUUAACAUUUUGCACUAAAGCAGUUUUGGACAGCAGCAGUAGUGUAACUUUGAAAAAUCACAAAAACAUUGUAUAGAUUGAAUUAGAGGAUGAAUAAAAUAUGAAACUAAAGCUUAUU
Molecule: long non-coding RNA, 562 nt
Filed under: Gossypium raimondii (Peruvian cotton)
Lineage: Eukaryota; Viridiplantae; Streptophyta; Magnoliopsida; Malvales; Malvaceae
Description: long non-coding RNA (GRAI_LNC004742)
Source: RNAcentral